Molecule: ribosomal RNA, 1059 nt
Filed under: Triticum aestivum (bread wheat)
Lineage: Eukaryota; Viridiplantae; Streptophyta; Magnoliopsida; Poales; Poaceae
Description: partial small subunit ribosomal RNA
Source: RNAcentral
AUGGUGGAGGGAUCCGCGUCCGACAUCGUCAAUCUGAAGUUCCUCCUCCUUUGUUUCCAACAGAUGUCUGGGCUCACCAUUAACUUCGAUAAGAGCGAAGUGAUGGUCCUUGGCUAUCCUCCGGAGGAGGCUCAAUUCAUUGCAGACCAGCUGAAGUGCCGCCUGGGUUCCUUCCCCACAACCUACUUGGGGAUACCCAUUAGUGACUCCAGGCUCACCGUUGCUGACCUCCGCCCGACUGUGACUAGGAUGCAGCACUGGGUUGAACCCUGGAGGGGGAGGUGGCUGUCGAAGGCAGCUAGGGUAAUCCUCAUCAACUCCUCGCUGGCUAGCCUACUCUGGUUUCUCAUGAGCUUCUACGGCCUCCAUGAGACCCUCCAUCAGGAGGUUGCCAAAUACCAGUCUAGGUUUUGGGCUGGCGAGGGCGACAAGCAGAAAUAUCAUAUGGUGAGCUGGCCAAACAUCUGCAAACCCAAAGACCAGGGUGGCCUUGGGAUCUUGUCUUCUCGUCGCAUGAACAUUGCUCUCCUGGCCCGUUGGCUUUGGCGCAUCACCAAUGGGGAGGGAGGCCUCUGGCUUACCAUCAUCCGCAAUAAGUACCUUAGGGGCCAACCUCUUGCCUUCUGCCAGCGUUCGGGUGGCUCCCAGUCCUGGCAGUCGGUGAUCCAGCUUAUGCCCGUGCUCCGCAUUGGCACAUCCAUCUUGGUUGGCUCCGGGUCCUCGACCCUAUUCUGGUUCGACCAUUGGUUAGGGGACUCCCCCCUGGCCGCGCGAUUCCCAAAACUAUUCGCCAUCGCGGUUGACCCUCGGGUCUCGGUCGAGACGGCCCUUAUUGACUUAGGGCGUCUUGCUUUUCGGCGCCCCUCGAGGUGGCUGCUUGGGAUUCCCUCCUCCAGGACAUCGCCCUUAUGCCGAUGGACAUCGAGGAGACCACAGACUCCCUCUCCUGGCGCCUUGAGCCAUCUGGCCGCUUCUCCACGAAGUCCUUGUAUGCCGCCAUCGCCCCCUCGGCGGCCCCGGAGCCCUUUAGCCUGCUCUGGUACAUACGCCUUCCUCUGA